UCUCCUCCUCUCCUCUGGAUGUAUUGUCUUCUCUCUUCACGUACGAAACUUUAGCCAAACUUUCCAGACUUCAUUCAUAGAACUUUGGUAAGCUCCUGGAGGCUACCGCUGCUACUGGCACCGACUGCGCGUAACCCUGGAUGGCUCUGUGGGCUCCCUGCAAUCCCUGGCGCAGCAAUAUUCUCAGUACUACGGGACCUGUGUGAGCGACGUGAGCGACAGGAUGGAGGAGCUGCGCAAACGUAAAGUUCUGCAGGACACAGAGAUGGGUAAAGUGGAGUCUCUGUCCACCUCUCUGCAGCUGCGCUCUCAGAUCCAGGAAUCUCUGGGUUUGAGCAGCAACACGUCCACACCAGAGCUCGACAGAAGGUUUCCGGUGCACAAGUCCAGCUCUGAUGAUGGAUCAGGAGGGAAGACCGAGAAAAGGAGAAGCAAGUCUUUCUGGCAAAGCUUCCGGAAAUCUCAAAAAGGAACUCUGCGCCAUGUUUCAAAAGGAGAUGACGUGGGCUUUGUGGCGUCGGAGGUUACCAUGGGCGACGAGGAGAGGAUCCAGCUCAUGAUGAUGGUGAAGGAGAACAUGAUCUCUAUAGAAGAAGCUCUGGCCCGGCUGAAGGAGUUUGAGAGCCAGAGCAGAGUCACCUGUCGUUCUGAAGGCAUUGAGUGGGUGGAUCCUGUUUCCAGUGAACCCUUCAAUCCGUGUGACCUGUCCGAUUAUGAGGAGGACUCGGUCUCCUUCAGGGGUCUGCACAAACUGGUCCACUCCACUCGGAAAGUCAAGAAGAAGCUGAUCAGAUACGAGGAGAGCAGGAGACACGCAGGAGAAGACCCCCAGGCUCCCGACAGCUCCCCCUGUGGCAGUCCUUUAUACUCGGGGGUCCAGAAGAAGCCCCCUGUGGAGCAGCUGGCCUCUCUGCUGCAGGACCAGCUCACGUCUUCAGACAGGGACACAGACUCCAUCACGACGUCGCCCUCUUCAGGCAGCCUUGACACCUACACCCGGCCCAACUCCAGCCGCAGCCCCGUGAGCCAGCCAGGGGGCGCCGCGGAGCAGAGGCAGGAGAGGGGCGGGGCCGAGAGGGAGGCGCGUCCUGUCGAGAAGGGGGCGGGGCCGAAGUUGGCGCGGUCGGUCACAGACGGAGAGCUGACUCAGAGAUCGCUCAGUGCAGGAAGUUUACACGGGAGAGCCUGCAGUUUUGGAGGAUUUGAUCUGACGAGCCGCUCUCUAUACACAGUCUGCUCUGACGGAGAAAACACUGCCAAACCAGAGGAGAGCUCAGCGAGGGAGGGUCUGAAGUCUCCUCCAACGACUCGAAUUUCUUUGGGGAAAAAAGUGAAAUCUGUGAGAGACACGAUGAGGAAACACAUCUCCAGAAGAUACACGUCCUCCCUGUCUGAACACUGUAGUCCAGAGCGGGGGCCCAGCUCUCCUCACUCCCCCCACACAGACUCUGAUUCUCUGGACAAACCUCGUCUGAAGCCCGGGGGGUCUGUGGAGAGUCUGAGGAGCUCUCUCAGCGGACACAGCUCCAUGAGCGGGCAGACGGUGGGCACCACAGACUCGUCCCACAGUAACAGAGAGAGUGUGAAGAGCGAGGAUGGAGAGGAAGAGGAGCCCCCGUACAAAGGACCCUUCUGUGGACGAGCCCUGGUUCAUACAGACUUCACCCCCAGCCCCUACGACUCCGACUCACUCAAACUCAAGAGUGGAGAUGUGAUCGACAUCAUCAGUAAGCCUCCGAUGGGCACGUGGAUGGGCAUGCUGAAUGGGAAAGUGGGCACGUUUAAGUUCAUUUAUGUGGACGUGAUCAACGAAGAGGCGCCCAAACCCAAGAAAACACGAAGGAGGAGGAGAGCGCCACAACCCAAACCCACGUCUGUGGAAGAGCUGCUGGAACGGAUCAACCUCAAGGAGCACCUGCCCACCUUCCUGUUUAACGGCUACGAGGACCUGGACACGUUUAAACUUCUGGAGGAGGAGGAUCUGGAUGAACUGAACAUCAGAGACGGUCAACACAGAGCAGUGCUGCUGACGGCCGUGGAACUACUGCAGGAGUACGACGGCAGCAGUGACCCGGAGCGCGGCAGCCCCUCAGGGUUAGGUCCACCCCAGGACAAACUUCUGCUGCAGAGACGAGGACUGAUGGGAGACUCCCCCAGAGACUCAGGCUGCUACGAGAGCAAUGAAAACCUCGACCAGAGCCAAGAGGGGACCGGCCCCUGACCCGACCCAACCCCAAACCAUCUCCACGGACUGAGAGAUUUUAACUUUGGAACAAGAUUUUAAUCAUUCACAAGGCUCAUUUGCAAGUUGGUUUUACUUGGUUUUACUGUGGGGGUUUGCAGUUGCUUUUGUGACUUUACUGCUUGAGAAUUGAUGGAAAAGAAGACGACAAAGGACCAGUUCACAAGAAAUAAGAACUGAAGUUAAAAAAAAAAAAAAAAAGAGGGGUAUUAUGCAAAAAUCUGUUUUAAUUUUUUUGUCUUUCUACCAUGUUUCUACCAUUGUUCCUUCAUCAAAAACAUGUCUGAAGAGGUUUUAGAGGAUCAUCCAUAUGUGUUUACAUGAGAGCAAAAGGGGAGGGGGGCUCAGAGCAUGAAAAACGAAAGUGAAACUAAAACAUGUCACGUUGUUUUUGGUGAUUAUUUUCAUAAAAGGUAAUAUGGUGAUCUUAUUUAUGUUAUGUGUUACAGUUAAUGCUCCAUACAAGUGUAAUACUCCCUCUUUAACUCAUUGGACUUGUUCAUUUGAACAUUUCUAAACGGGACUGACAUUUAACUGAGGUUCAUGUUGUUUUCACAUGAAGGCGUGUUUUAUUUAAAGUUGUAGUGAUUUUUGUUUUGAAAUCUAUUUGAACUCUCAUCAUUUCACAAACAAGUACCACCUCCAAACAAUAUGGCAUUUGAGGUCUCUCUUUAAGACUGAAACAGGACUAAAUCAGGACUGAACCAGGACUAAACCAGGUCUAAAUCAGGACCAAAACUGGAGCUAAACCUGAAAAGAGACCAGGACUGAAACAGGACUGAAACAGGACUGAAACAGGGCUUAACCAGGACUAAACCAGGACUAAGGUGAACGGAGCGAGGACUGAACCAAGACUGAAAUAGGAUCAAAUUGGAUCUAAACCUGGAAAGAGACCAAGACUUAACCGUGCCUAAACCAGGAUUAAACGAGGACUCAACUCAUACUUAACCAGGACUUAACCUGGACUCAAUUUGAACCAAACGAAGACUGAAUUAUACAUAGUUACAACCUGGACUACCAUAGCAGUAUGAAGACUACGACUCAACCAGGACUCAACCAGGACUCAACCAGGUCUUAACCAGGUCUUAACCAGGUCUUAACCAGGUCUUAAACAGGUCUUAACCAGGUCUUAACCAGGACUUAAACAGGACUACAAUUGCAGUAUGAAGACUGCAACUAAACCAGGACUAAACCAGGUCUUAAUCAGGAUAUAAACAGGACUACAAUUGGAGUGUGGACUACAACUAAACCAGGACUAAACCAGGACUCAAUCUGAACCAAACCAAGACUGAAGUAUAAAUGGUUAGAACCUGGACCCCAUAGCAGUAUGAGGACUACAAAUAAACCAGGACUAAACCAGGUCUUAAACCAGGUCUUAACCAGGUCUUAAACAGGUCUUAAACAGGUCUUAAACAGGUCUUAAACAGGUCUUAACCUGGACUACCAUCGCAGUAUGAGGACUACAACUAAACCAGGACUAAACCAGGACUAUACAGAGACUGGACCCGGUAAAGUCUAGUUAUAUAUUACAGACUGUACCAAGACUGUAUCUGGACUAAACCAGGACUUCAGCAGCACUAAAACUUCUACUCACCUUUGACUUUUUAAUGUUACAUUCCCUAAACUGAUAAAGGUACGUUUUCAGAAGAAUUAUUCCAGAGUUAUUGAUAAUUGUGAUAUUUAUUAUUAUAUUUAAAGAAUAAACCAGAUCUUAAUCAGGACAGAAACUGUACCAGACUCAUCCAAAUGUUUCAGAGGUGAAAAUAUAACACUGUUUCCAUAGCAAUUAACAAUUCAACACAAAAAAAUGACCCAUAACCUUAAAGAGGAAGUUAAAAUACAGGACCAGGACUAAACCAGAACCAAACCAGGACUAAACCAGGACUAAACCAGGACCAAACCGAAACCAAACCAGGAUUAAAAGAGGAUCAAACUAGGACAAAACAGGACAAAACUAGGACCAAACUAUGAUUAAACCAGGACCAAACCAGGACUAAAACAAGAUUAAAACAGGACCAAACAAGGACUAAACCAGGACUAAACCAUGACUAAACCAGGACUAAACCAGGACUAAAUCAGGACUAAACCAGGACUAAACCAGGACUAAACCAGGACUAAACCAGGACUAAACCAGGACUAAACCAGGACUAGAGAACCUGUAAACUACCUAGUCCUUUGUUUCUGAACCAGCAGUGACACUGACAGUAGCUCUUUCUCUUCGUCGUUGUUUUGGGUUGACUUGAGUUCACACAGUUGCAUUUUGUACAUAAGUUUGUGAAUGUUUUUCAGAUUGUACAGUGUCAUUUCCUCUUUUAUUUGUGUAUAUUUUUAAAGUAACGUUGCACAGAAUUUGAUCAUGUGCCUGAAAGCUGCGCCGUGCACACAAAGACUAAAAAAUGUUCAAAUUAUUGUUGAAAAAAGUUCAUUUCAAAUGCACUAAAACUGGAAGAGUUGAACAGAGAGACGUGGGCAGGUCAUUUUCACAAUCACAAGCAAUAAUAAUUACAUUUAAAGCUUUGGACACAACAGAAUUCUUUGAUUUCAUGAUGAUUUCAGUUUCGCAAAAAGGCACACACCAAUCAGCCAAAACAUUAUGACACUAAACUGACUGAAACCUGGCCUCUAGUCUAGUCCAAACCAGGUCUAAACCAGGUCCAAACCAGGUCUAAACCAGGCCUGAAACCAGGCCUGAAACCAGGACUAAACCAGGACUAAACCAGGUCUAAACCAGCUCUAAACUAGGACUAAACCAGGUCUAAACCAGGACUAAACCAGGACUAAACCACCCCUGAUUGAUACUGACCACUGUAGACUAGGGACACUCCAAAAGAAUUGGUUUAAUCCUAGUUUAGACCUGAUUUAGAGCUGGUUUAGAGCAAGUCCAAACAAAAGUUGGUCAUAAUGUUAUCGCUAAACCUCUGACUAAAGGUCAGGUGGAGUUAGUCCAGCUCUAAACCAGGACUAACUCUGACCAGGACUAAAGCAGGUUUAACCCAGGACUGAACCAGGACUGAACCAAGACUGAACCAGGAUUAAUCUAAACCAGUUCUAAUCCAUGACUAAACAAGGUCUAAACCUGAUCUAAAUUGGUCAUAAUUUUAUGGCUAAACCUUUGACUAACCCAGAGCUAAACCAGGACUAACCCUGGCCAGGAUCAAAGCAGGUUUAAUCUGGGACUAAACCAGGACUGAACCAGGUCUAACCCUGAUCUACGUUGGUCGUAAUGUUGUGGCUGAUCAAUAUUACAGACAGAUGUUUCAUAUAAACGUUUCAGUGUGUGUUCAGGUGUGUUCAGGUGUGUUCAGGUGUGUGUGUAGCAGGUGUAUCAGUGUCUUCAUCUGAACACACGUCUGUUUCUCACAUUCAACUUUCAGUGUUUCUUUUUUGUGGCUGAGCUUAAUUAAUA
RNA transcript from Boleophthalmus pectinirostris (great blue-spotted mudskipper), 5648 nucleotides. It is a transcript of the gene named SAM and SH3 domain-containing protein 1-like, with no coding region annotated. Lineage: Eukaryota; Metazoa; Chordata; Actinopteri; Gobiiformes; Gobiidae. The record is from RefSeq and is a predicted model, not a curated record. The transcript has 18 exons.